Molecule: small RNA, 29 nt
Filed under: Bombyx mori (domestic silkworm)
Lineage: Eukaryota; Metazoa; Arthropoda; Insecta; Lepidoptera; Bombycidae
Description: ovarian small RNA-30596
Source: RNAcentral
UGAAAUGAACUAUUUCCCAAGCCACGUGU